RNAcentral lists this ribosomal RNA (353 nucleotides) under uncultured bacterium. RNAcentral's name for it is "bacterial SSU rRNA". It matches the Rfam family "Bacterial small subunit ribosomal RNA", at positions 1 to 334 of the family's 1533-position model. The record is from RNAcentral.
CUAUGCGCCUUGCCAGCCCGCUCAGUCAGAGUUUGAUCCUGGCUCAGGACGAACGCUGGCGGCGUGCUUAACACAUGCAAGUCGAACGGGAUCCGGGCUUUCGGGUUUGGUGAGAGUGGCGAACGGGUGAGUAACACGUGAGUAACCUGCCCCCUUCUUUGGGAUAACGUCGGGAAAUCGGCGCUAAUACUGGAUAUUCUUGCUGCAUCGCAUGGUGUGGUUUGGAAAGGGUUUCUGGUGGGGGAUGGGCUCGCGGCCUAUCAGCUUGUUGGUGGGUGAUGGCCUACCAAGGCUUUGACGGGUAGCCGGCCUGAGAGGGUGUCCGGCCACACUGGGACUGAGACACGGCCCAG